Molecule: ribosomal RNA, 166 nt
Filed under: uncultured bacterium
Lineage: Bacteria
Description: partial 16S ribosomal RNA
Rfam family: Bacterial small subunit ribosomal RNA
Source: RNAcentral
UUUGAUCCUGGCUCAGAAUGAACGCUGGCGGUCGUGCCUAACACAUGCAAGUCGAACGAGAAAGCGGGCUUCGGCCCGUGAGUACAGUGGCAGACGGGUGAGUAACACGUGGGUAACCUGCCCGGAGGUGGGGGAUAACGUUCCGAAAGGGACGCUAAUACCGCAU